CAAAGAAGAAUGGAUGAAGGUAGUCCCCUGCUACUUGUAGACAUGACCCAGCAGUCAGUAAAACUGUCCCAAAGGUUAGAAACCUACCAGGACCUGUGUCUUAUAGUAAAUAAAUUCUUUACAGCUCCAGAGACAAACAGAAUUCUAAAGAAGCUGCAUAGAGUUGAUGAGAAUCUACCUACCUUCCCAACUAUGCAUAAGGUGAAAAUAUGUAGACAACAUGACUUGAUGACAGUUGGAUGGACAUAACAACAAUGACCAAAACAGUUGGAAUAAAUGACUGUCACAUGAU
RNAcentral lists this long non-coding RNA (292 nucleotides) under Ictidomys tridecemlineatus (thirteen-lined ground squirrel). Its description in RNAcentral is "lncRNA (ENSSTOG00000033727.1)". The record is from RNAcentral. Lineage: Eukaryota; Metazoa; Chordata; Mammalia; Rodentia; Sciuridae.